ACAGUUCACAAAGCGCAACACAACACAACACAACACAGAGCCACACAAGAGCAGCUAGCAGCAAGAGACGGGCGCAGCAGAUAAGCUCUCCUGGCUGCACGUACCUAGCUCAAGCUCGAGGGCACCGGCCAUGUCGCCCGUGCACGUCCCGGAGCUCAGCAGCGGCGGGUCGGGGUCGGGGUCGCUCACCCUGAACCCCGUGCAGCGCGCGCUCACCCGGCUGUCGUCGUCGUCGGCCCUCACGCCCAGGUCGCCCCCGCCGUCCUACGGGAGCAUCGUCACCGUGCUCAGCAUCGACGGCGGCGGCGUCCGCGGCAUCAUCCCCGGAACCAUCCUCGCCUUCCUCGAAGAGAAGCUCCAGGAGCUCGAUGGGCCGGACGUGAGGAUCGCGGAUUACUUCGACGUGAUCGCCGGGACCAGCACCGGGGGCCUGGUGACGGCCAUGCUCACGGCGCCCGACGCCAAAGGACGCCCGCUCUUCGCCGCCAAGGACAUCAACAACUUCUACCUGGAGCACUGCCCAAAGAUCUUCCCUGCCGUCUACGGAGGGCCUCUGGGCUUGCUCAGGAGCAUGAGGGGGCCCAAGUACGACGGCCAGUACCUCCACUCCGUCGUCAAAGAGCUGCUCGGCGAGACGCGGGUCGGCGAGGCGCUGCAGAACAUAGUCAUCCCCACCUUCGACAUCAAGCUGCUCCAGCCAACCAUCUUCUCCAGAUACGACGCCCGGAACGACGUCUCCAAGAACGCUCUUCUGUCCGACGUCUGCAUCAGCACGUCGGCGGCGCCUACUUACCUCCCCGGCCACCACUUUGAGACCAAGGACAAGGAUGGCAAGCCCCGGGCAUUCAAUCUCAUCGACGGAGGCGUUGCCGCAAACAAUCCGACAAUGUUGGCCAUGACGGACGUAAGCAAGCAGAUCCUGCUGGGCAACCAGGACUUCUUCCCGAUCAAGCCGGCCGACUACGGCAAGUUCAUGGUGCUCUCCCUCGGCACCGGCUCCGCCAAGGUAGAGGAGAAGUUCGACGCCGCCGCGUGCAGCAAGUGGGGGAUCCUCGGAUGGCUCUACAACAAGGGCGCCACGCCGCUCAUCGACAGCUUCAGCCAGGCCAGCGCCGACCUCGUCGACAUCCAGGCGUCCGUGCUCUUCCAGGCGCUGCGCUGCGAGAAGCGCUACCUCCGCAUCCAGGACGACGAGCUCAAGGGCGACACAUCUUCCGUCGACGUGUCCACGCCCGAGAACCUCAACAGGCUCGUCGAGGUCGGCAAGGCGCUGCUCAAGAGGAGCGUGUGCAGGGUGAACGUGGAGACGGGCAAGACCGUGCCUGAUGACAAUAGAGGCACCAAUGAGGAGGAGCUAAUCAGUUUUGCACGGAUGCUGUCGCAGGAGCGCAAGGCCAGGCUGCAGAAGAAGGGAGUCACCGUCCCACAGUAAAUAACAUUGGAUAGUUAAUACUGUAGCAUAUACGUAUAUAGCUAAACUCGUAUUACGUGUAAGGCAAAUUAGGAAAAGUCAAUAGACGGUCGAACCAUGGUAGGCUGGAAAUAUUGAACUGCCAAAGCUCAGAGACUUAUGUGAAUUUUAGAGGUCCCCAAAGAAGUUGUAAAGUGGGAGAAUGAAAUAAAUAGCCAACUAUUUAUUGUGGGUACAACAUGAAAUUUAUCAGCCUAUAUUGGAUCCUACUUCCUCCGUUUCUAAAUAUAGGUCUUUCUAGAGAUUUCAACAAGUGACUAUAUACGGAGCAAAAUGAGUGAAUCUAUUUUCUAAAAUAUGUCUAUAUACAUCCGUAUGUGGUAGUCCAUUUGAAAUCCCUAAAAAGACUUAUAUUUAGGAACGGAGGGAGUAGAAAAAUACACAUUGGCCCCCGCGUCACUCCGCAGGGCGACAUCUGAAACCCAGCCGUUCCUCGCCACCGCCAGGCGACGAUA
This 1926-nucleotide ribosomal RNA is filed under the name Triticum aestivum (bread wheat). RNAcentral describes it as "partial small subunit ribosomal RNA". The record is from RNAcentral. Lineage: Eukaryota; Viridiplantae; Streptophyta; Magnoliopsida; Poales; Poaceae.